This 468-nucleotide ribosomal RNA is filed under the name uncultured bacterium. RNAcentral describes it as "partial 16S ribosomal RNA". It matches the Rfam family "Bacterial small subunit ribosomal RNA", at positions 28 to 507 of the family's 1533-position model. The record is from RNAcentral.
GACGAACGCUGGCGGCGUGCUUAACACAUGCAAGUCGAACGGAAAGACCCUGCUUUUGUGGGGUGCUCGAGUGGCGAACGGGUGAGUAACACGUGAGUAACCUGCCCUGGACUUUGGGAUAACUUCAGGAAACUGGGGCUAAUACCGGAUAGGAGCUCCUGCUGCAUGGUGGGGGUUGGAAAGUUUCGGCGGUUGGGGAUGGAUUCGCGGCUUAUCAGCUUGUUGGUGGGGUAGUGGCUUACCAAGGCUUUGACGGGUAGCCGGCCUGAGAGGGUGACCGGCCACAUUGGGACUGAGAUACGGCCCAGACUCCUACGGGAGGCAGCAGUGGGGAAUAUUGCACAAUGGGCGGAAGCCUGAUGCAGCAACGCCGCGUGCGGGAUGACGGCCUUCGGGUUGUAAACCGCUUUCGCCUGUGACGACGCGUGAGUGACGGUAAUGGGUAAAGAAGCCCCGGCUAACUACGUG